Molecule: ribosomal RNA, 253 nt
Filed under: uncultured bacterium
Lineage: Bacteria
Description: partial 16S ribosomal RNA
Rfam family: Bacterial small subunit ribosomal RNA
Source: RNAcentral
UACAGAGGGUGCAAGCGUUAAUCGGAAUUACUGGGCGUAAAGCGUGCGUAGACGGUCAUGUAAGUCGGGUGUGAAAGCCCCGGGCUCAACCUGGGAAUUGCAUUCGAGACUGCAUGGCUAGGGUGCGGAAGAGGGAAGCGGAAUUUCCGGUGUAGCGGUGAAAUGCGUAGAUAUCGGAAGGAACACCAGUGGCGAAGGCGGCAUUCUGGACCGAUAUUGACGCUGAGGAGCGAAAGCCAGGGGAGCAAACGGG